Molecule: RNA transcript, 2809 nt
Organism: Ziziphus jujuba (common jujube)
Lineage: Eukaryota; Viridiplantae; Streptophyta; Magnoliopsida; Rosales; Rhamnaceae
Exons: 5
Source: RefSeq, a predicted model, not a curated record
AUCUCCUUUCAAAUUUUUUCAUUUUACCCUUUUAAUUUUUAAUAUUUCCUAGUUGCCCUUUUAAAAUAGAAAAGUUGUUUCAUUUUUUCCCUUUAACAGGGCAUGAAGAAUAGAGGAAUAGAAAGUGAGAGAGAAUGGUGAGGUAGCUACCGGAGAGUUCUUUCAGCUCUGCCACAUUCUUCUGGGUCUUGGGCUUGGACUCACUGCCUUAGCGUUCUACUUGGUCGGCGAGUAGAUCUACAACAAAACCCUUGGUCCUUCCUCCUUCUCUUCUUCUGGGUUUGCUUUUAUUUUGUUUUUAUUAGCUAUUGGGGAAUAAUUGGAUGGGGGUUUGGGAUUUUGGCAUCGGGGGGAUGGGUCAAGGAGAUAGGGUGAGUUAACCAGGUGCGGAGGAGUGGAUGCUUUGAGAUGCAGAGUUUCUUUGUUCAUUGUAUUAUAAGCACCUCAAAACUGAAUAGACCACAACUGGAUGGUUAGACAAUCGUGGAAGUCAAUAACAUCACAGAUAUUAAUAGCAUCAUAAAACAUCAUUUCAAGACCCACCCUUCAGGUAUUGCAAUAUUGGAAGAAGAAAAAGGUAAUUGUUAAUUUUCAUUUGAUUCAUUAUAGGUUUUUAUGGUCUUUAAAAGUUAUCUGAAAAAUAUAAAAGAUAUGUUAUAUUUUUGGAGAUAUAAUUUAGAGUCCCAAUGCCUUAUAUCAAGGUGGAGACAUUGAAUGAAAAAUGAAUGAGGUUUAAGAACAAAGGGCUAUUUGAUAGGAAAUAUCAUUUUUAUUUUGUGAUCUUUGUGGAAAAAGUAAAACAUCAUUUUGGGAAUUUUUUAGAGGGGAAGCAAUGAUUCUUAUAUGAUCAUAAUGAGAUUGUUGAAUCUGGUAUUAGCUUUUUAAGAUCUUCAAAAUUAAAACAAAUUUAGAUUUGAAUAAGAUUCUAAAUUUAGUUUCAACAAUUAUUUGUUUGCACGAGAAUAUUGACUAUGAUGAAUAUAUAAAUAUAUAUAUAUAUAUAUAUAAAAUGAAGAAAAUAUAGUUUUGAGGCAGACUAUUAUGAUUAGCAAGAUUUUCACAUAUAUGUACUUUCAACAGUUUUCAAUCUUAGUUUGACUCUCUUUCAUUUCCUCUCUACCUCAAAUCUUGCUUCUUCAAAUCUGUCUAUGAAACAAUUCCAACUUCUAAGGCCAAUGGCUUUCUGAAUCCAUUGCCUCAACUCCAAACAUGCAUCAAGGAUUGCAUUUUUCAUCUUGCCAAGACAUAAUAAGUUAUUGUGGAGAUUGGUGGCUCAAAAAAGGAGGUAUAAUAUUAAACCAAAAGUAUAUUUAAAUGAACUUUACACAACUUUAUUAUCAAUGAAAGACAUAAAUAUUUGGAAUAUAUUUCUAUUUCAUUUACCUUUACAGAGUUUUUAGUCAUGAUUCAUUCAAGAAAAAAAGGUAUAUAUUAAAUCAUAAUUUUAGUUCUUAGGUUGCUACAAAUACAUAUCAAUGGCAGAAUGUGAUGAUCACAUAUUAGAAAAUUUUAAGGCCUAUUCCAUUUUUCUAUAUUAAGCCCCCUCAGACUAUCUCACUUGCAAAUUUUGAUGAUCCAAUUGGAAAUUUCUCCAAUAAUCAUCAAGAAGAUUAUAUAUUUUGGAGUUAAUAUUCUUUGCCUUGUGAUAUUGGAUAAGAGUUAGACAUUAUAUUUCAUUUGUUGCUCAAAUUAAUAUUCAUAUGUUUUCUGCAUUGAAAAACAUUUAAUUUUUGUGGUUAGGUUGAGAUACUAGUUUUGUACAUAUGAAAUUUGACUCCUAACAAAUUCUGCAUAAUGGUUGCACCUCAGUUCAAGAGUUUUGAAGAUCUUCUAUCAACUACAGUAAACUCUGUGAGUUGAUUAUUUGAAUUCUACAUAGAGCAGGUAAUUCACCAUAAGAAUUCUGAUAGCAGUUAUAUUUCUUGGUGGUAAUCUACCUAAAACAAAUUUGCAAAAGGAAGGUUUAUUUGCUAUAUGAUAAUAAUAAGUCCGAUAUACAGCUACAUUAAUGUUGCUCUGGUUGUAAGACAAAAUUUUGACAACUAAAUAACAUGAAGAGUGCAAAUCUCAUUUUCUUAAAAAAAUGUAUUAUUAUCUGAAAAAUUAUAAUGCACUGAAUUGGUUUUCAAUUAUUCUCCUCCAAUAAUGUUAAAUGCAUAUGAAUCAUUAUAGAAAUUUUAUUGUUAAGUUUCAAUUCAAAGCUAUGUUAUAUUCCGAGCUCUAUGAAUGUCCUUAAAAUUUGGCCUCAUAAGUUUUACUUUUGACAGCCCAAAACUCAGGAGGUUAAGAAGGAACUCACAGACAGGGACGUUUAGGAGGGUUUUGACAUUACUCUUACAAAACAUAGGGGGCAGGUGAUUGACGAGUUUGAUCAUAAUGUACAUUUUGUUGAAACUGAUAUUGAGGAAAAUCUAGAAAUAGCAGAAGUAGCUGGUAUUAUGGGUACACCAUGUGUUCAAUUUUUCAAAAACAAGGAAAAUUUGAGGUUGUUUUUCUUCUACACUCCUGGUGCUGGUCCAACUGUCAAAUCUGGUUCAAAGGGAAAGCGCCAUCAUUUGAUACUGACUAAAACCCUUGAGUGGACCUUAAAUUGGUGCAUACUACAGAGCAUGUUUGAUAGAACCCUAGUGGAGUUGGAAGGUUUGAAAAAAGCAAACAUUCGAGAUGGCGUUGAAGUGGUGCAAUAUCUUGUCUGGUUGGAUAAGCAGGCAAACACUUAAACUGACAGAGGUGACUACAAGCGAUAAGCUGGAAAGUAUCGGCAUGGUACAGGCCACGGAAUUGGGUUUUACCUUAAUGUUCAUGAAGG